RNAcentral lists this ribosomal RNA (184 nucleotides) under uncultured Sphingomonadales bacterium. RNAcentral describes it as "partial 16S ribosomal RNA". It matches the Rfam family "Bacterial small subunit ribosomal RNA", at positions 134 to 334 of the family's 1533-position model. Lineage: Bacteria; Pseudomonadati; Pseudomonadota; Alphaproteobacteria; Sphingomonadales. The record is from RNAcentral.
GGGUCUGGGAUAACCGUUGGAAACGACGGCUAAUACCGGAUGAUAUCGAGAGAUCAAAGAUUUAUCGCCCUGGGAUGAGCCCGCGUAGGAUUAGCUGGUUGGUGGGGUAAAGGCCUACCAAGGCGACGAUCCUUAGCUGGUCUGAGAGGAUGAUCAGCCACACUGGGACUGAGACACGGCCCAG